GACGAACGCUGGCGGCGUGCUUAACACAUGCAAGUCGAACGGAAAGGCCCUGCUUUUGUGGGGUGCUCGAGUGGCGAACGGGUGAGUAACACGUGAGUAACCUGCCCUUGACUUUGGGAUAACUUCAGGAAACUGGGGCUAAUACCGGAUAGGAGCUCCUGCUGCAUGGUGGGGGUUGGAAAGUUUCGGCGGUUGGGGAUGGACUCGCGGCUUAUCAGCUUGUUGGUGGGGUAGUGACUUACCAAGGCUUUGACGGGUAGCCGGCCCGAGAGGGUGACCGGCCACAUUGGGACUGAGAGACGGCGCAGACUGCUACGGGAGGCAGCAGUGGGGAAUAUUGCACAAUGGGCGGAAGCCUGAUGCAGCAACGCCGCGUGCGGGAUGACGGCCUUCGGGUUGUAAACCGCUUUCGCCUGUGACGAAGCGUGAGUGACGGUAAUGGGUAAAGAAGCACCGGCUAACUACGUG
RNAcentral lists this ribosomal RNA (468 nucleotides) under uncultured bacterium. RNAcentral's name for it is "partial 16S ribosomal RNA". It matches the Rfam family "Bacterial small subunit ribosomal RNA", at positions 28 to 507 of the family's 1533-position model. The record is from RNAcentral.